Molecule: ribosomal RNA, 425 nt
Filed under: uncultured bacterium
Lineage: Bacteria
Description: partial 16S ribosomal RNA
Rfam family: Bacterial small subunit ribosomal RNA
Source: RNAcentral
GUGGGGAAUCUUGCGCAAUGGGCGAAAGCCUGACGCAGCCAUGCCGCGUGAAUGAUGAAGGUCUUAGGAUUGUAAAAUUCUUUCACCGGGGACGAUAAUGACGGUACCCGGAGAAGAAGCUCCGGCUAACUUCGUGCCAGCAGCCGCGGUAAUACGAAGGGGGCUAGCGUUGCUCGGAAUUACUGGGCGUAAAGGGCGCGUAGGCGGACAGCUUAGUCAGAGGUGAAAGCCCAGGGCUCAACCUUGGAAUUGCCUUUGAUACUGGCUGUCUUGAGUUUGGGAGAGGUGAGUGGAACUACGAGUGUAGAGGUGAAAUUCGUAGAUAUUCGGAAGAACACCAGUGGCGAAGGCGACUCACUGGCCCAAUACUGACGCUGAGGCGCGAAAGCGUGGGGAGCAAACAGGAUUAGAUACCCUUGUAGUCC